Molecule: long non-coding RNA, 458 nt
Filed under: Malus domestica (apple)
Lineage: Eukaryota; Viridiplantae; Streptophyta; Magnoliopsida; Rosales; Rosaceae
Description: long non-coding RNA (MDOM_LNC012235)
Source: RNAcentral
GAGAACACUAACACCGAGGUGCAGGUUUAUAAAUUCUCAACACAUCUCACAUAAUCAUCAAAUCACAUAUAAACAGUCUACAACUUACCUUGUACUCACCUGAAUGUCCACAGCGUCAAAUCAUAUUUAUGCAUACUAUACUAUUUCAUACUCUAAAUAUAAAUCAAUAUGCAUGACAUUUCAAAACAUAAUUUCAUUUAAACGCAUUUUCUGGGAAAAGUACCAAUUAUAUAAGUAUACAUUGAAAACCAAAAGCCCACUCACUGAUAUGUGGAAGGGUCGUAACCCCCGAGCCUUACUUGACUGCGCUCGUUCUCAAGAUAGGUCUCACCUAUAUGCGAAACAACUAUUUAAACGUUAUUUUAAAGCACAUACACAAAUCUAGGUAAUAACUUCUCAUACAUAGCUCAAUUGGGGUAUUUGAAUAUACCACUAUGACCUACUCAACCUCAGGAACA